GUAAACGAUGAACACUAGGUGUCGGGGGAAUCGACCCCUUCGGUGUCGUAGCUAACGCGUUAAGUGUUCCGCCUGGGGAGUACGCACGCAAGUGUGAAACUCAAAGGAAUUGACGGGGGCCCGCACAAGCGGUGGAGUAUGUGGUUUAAUUCGAUGCAACGCGAAGAACCUUACCAGGGUUUGACAUCCUGCGAACCUCUUAGAAAUUUGAGGGUGCCUUCGGGAAUGCAGUGACAGGUGGUGCAUGGCUGUCGUCAGCUCGUGUCGUGAGAUGUUGGGUUAAGUCCCGCAACGAGCGCAACCCACGUUUUUAGUUGCCAGCAUUUAGUUGGGCACUCUAGAAAGACCGCCGGUGAUAAACCGGAGGAAGGUGUGGAUGACGUCAAGUCAUCAUGCCCCUUACACCCUGGGCUACACACGUACUACAAUGCUACGGACAAAGGGCAGCAAACUCGCGAGAGCUAGCAAAUCCCAUAAACCGUGGCUCAGUUCAGAUCGUAGGCUGCAACUCGCCUACGUGAAGUAGGAAUCGCUAGUAAUCGCAGGUCAGCAUACUGCGGUGAAUACGUUCCCGGGCCUU
This 580-nucleotide ribosomal RNA is filed under the name uncultured cyanobacterium. Its description in RNAcentral is "bacterial SSU rRNA". It matches the Rfam family "Bacterial small subunit ribosomal RNA", at positions 802 to 1382 of the family's 1533-position model. Lineage: Bacteria; Bacillati; Cyanobacteriota. The record is from RNAcentral.